RNAcentral lists this ribosomal RNA (301 nucleotides) under uncultured bacterium. Its description in RNAcentral is "partial 16S ribosomal RNA". It matches the Rfam family "Bacterial small subunit ribosomal RNA", at positions 509 to 807 of the family's 1533-position model. The record is from RNAcentral.
CAGUAGCCACGGUAAUACGAAGGGGGCUAGCGUUGCUCGGAAUGACUGGGCGUAAAGGGCGCGUAGGCGGAUUGUACAGUCAGACGUGAAAUUCCUGGGCUCAACCUGGGGACUGCGUUUGAGACGUGCGAUCUAGAGUUUGGAAGAGGGUCGUGGAAUUCCCAGUGUAGAGGUGAAAUUCGUAGAUAUUCGGAAGAACACCAGUGGCGAAGGCGACUGACUGGACAAGUAUUGACGCUGAGGUGCGAAAGUGUGGGGAGCAAACAGGAUUAGAUACCCCUGUAGUCCCUGUCUCUUAUAC